AUGACGAGUGGCGGACGGGUGAGUAAUGCUUGGGAACUUGCCUUUGCGAGGGGGAUAACAGUUGGAAACGACUGCUAAUACCGCAUAAUGUCUUCGGACCAAACGGGGCUUCGGCUCCGGCGCAAAGAGAGGCCCAAGUGAGAUUAGCUAGUUGGUAAGGUAACGGCUUACCAAGGCGACGAUCUCUAGCUGUUCUGAGAGGAAGAUCAGCCACACUGGGACUGAGACACGGCCCAGACUCCUACGGGAGGCAGCAGUGGGGAAUAUUGCACAAUGAGGGAAACCUUGAUGCAGCCAUGCCGCGUGUGUGAAGAAGGCCCGAGGGUUGUAAAGCACUUUCAAUUGUGAGGAAGAUUAAGUAGCUAAUACCUGCUUAGUUUGACGUUAACUUUAGAAGAAGCACCGGCUAACUCUGUGCCAGCAGCCGCGGUAAUACAGAGGGUGCAAGCGUUAUUCGGAAUUACUGGGCGUAAAGCGCGCGUAGGCGGACUGUUAAGUCGGUUGUGAAAGCCCUG
RNAcentral lists this ribosomal RNA (515 nucleotides) under uncultured bacterium. RNAcentral's name for it is "bacterial SSU rRNA". It matches the Rfam family "Bacterial small subunit ribosomal RNA", at positions 88 to 605 of the family's 1533-position model. The record is from RNAcentral.